Molecule: non-coding RNA, 28 nt
Filed under: Rattus norvegicus (Norway rat)
Lineage: Eukaryota; Metazoa; Chordata; Mammalia; Rodentia; Muridae
Source: RNAcentral
UCUUCUAACUGUGCUUAGCAUUCCCCAC